CAAUGUUGUAGAGCAGUAAAUUUGCCGUAAGAAUAUGCUCAUUAUAAAACGUUUAAGUUUUCUCAGAGCUCGUGAAAGAAUUAAAUAUGCUUUUUGACAAAUUUUGCUCCAGUCUCCCCUACUUAGCUUUACAUUCAUUGAAAUUUGAUUGAAGUCUCGUCGAUUCAUUGUCGUCAUUGAAACCGAAAAGUGAUCCUUUAUUAAAUUGAAUACUAAUUCUCAGAAUAUAUGGAAGUCUGCUAUCCUAUUUCCUACACGAGACUGCUAAUAUUUCCAUAUUAAUGAAAAGAGUAGAUUCAAAUAUAAGUCUGAGUGGUCAAAAAUACGCAGGGUUGGUUUAUGUCGAUAAAAUAGUUCAAUGUGUGCUGGUCUGGGAUGAAGAAUGAGUGAGCAAUUUUCCUAUAUUAAAGCCAUAGACGAUGUUGUGUCUACCUAAUCAUUUUUAUCAGAACUAUGACAUAAUAUUUAAAAUGAAUCUCUCAAUGGGAAAUUGCACAGUCAUUUAAUGCUACAAUAAUUUUUGAUGCUCAUCCAAGAUUAAACUAGAUCCAUGAAUACUUCCGCUUUAGGCUUUAGUGUUCUGUAGCCACAGAAAUCACUCUCAUAUAUCUAGGGUUUCACGUAGCAUUUGCAAGCUUAUAUGUGAUCCUGUCUCAGAGUAGUCUAUCUCAUAUUUCACCGUGAAUGUCCAAUUUGAAUAUCUCUCUUGGAAGCUCUUCUGGCUGUUGAAUAAAUAAAAUAUACCAAUUAUCUGCAAAAGUGCUUGAAAGUGAAUAUUAUAAUGGAAAAUUGCGAUUUAAUACCAGUUAUUGUUGAAGUACUGGGAAGUCUCUUCAAUCCAAACAGAAAUGAUGACUAUGAGUUCAGCGAUGAACGUAAUGCUCUCAAGUACAUAAAAUCCACAUAAAAUUGCAUCAUGCCAGAUUGGAAAAUCAAAUAAAAGGGAUAUGUAUAUAAUAUUGAUUUGUUUUUAUUUUAUGUUCAUUAUUUUUUCCGUUGCGAAUUUUUCCAAUGGCGCUUUCAACUCUUUCCCAGAUGCUAGUAAUGAUGAUUCAUUUGAAAGAAUAUUCCAAUACAGAUUAUAUGCUAUGUAUACAUUGCAGAAAUAGCGAAUCAUUCCCCGAUGCAGAAGAUUAAAUAAAAAAUAAUAGUCACUGAAAAUGUGGGUGGUAGGUGGGUAUUUAAAAGAAAAAUAAGAAAAAUGUGCAUAUAAGCAAAAAAAUUGCAAAUUAAGAGGAAUAAAAAUUGCA
Molecule: long non-coding RNA, 1250 nt
Organism: Phlebotomus papatasi
Lineage: Eukaryota; Metazoa; Arthropoda; Insecta; Diptera; Psychodidae
Exons: 2
Source: RefSeq, a predicted model, not a curated record